UUGAACGGAGAGUUUGAUCCUGGCUCAGGAUGAACGCUGGCGGCGUGCUUAACACAUGCAAGUCGAACGAUGAUCCGGUGCUUGCGCCGGGGAUUAGUGGCGAACGGGUGAGUAACACGUGAGUAACCUGCCCUUGACUCUGGGAUAA
Molecule: ribosomal RNA, 148 nt
Filed under: [Arthrobacter] sp. ATCC 21022
Lineage: Bacteria; Bacillati; Actinomycetota; Actinomycetes; Micrococcales; Micrococcaceae
Description: Arthrobacter sp. ATCC 21022 partial 16S ribosomal RNA
Rfam family: Bacterial small subunit ribosomal RNA
Source: RNAcentral